Molecule: long non-coding RNA, 297 nt
Organism: Neopelma chrysocephalum (saffron-crested tyrant-manakin)
Lineage: Eukaryota; Metazoa; Chordata; Aves; Passeriformes; Pipridae
Exons: 3
Source: RefSeq, a predicted model, not a curated record
CCCUGAUCCCCACAAAUACUGGAACAGUUUGGAAAGGAGCCAGAACAGUGUGAACAGGGACACCAGAGGCUUUUCUGAAAAACUGCUUGAAUAGGAGCCAAAAGUGCACUGCUAUUAUGAGCAAGGAGAAGUGGAUAAUGGGCUACUGCACACCUUGGGAAGGUGUGGCCAAAAGAUUGGAGGAAUUUAUUAUAACCCUCCACAUGGCUCUGGCAAUAGAUAUUCAGCAAGAACAUUCCGUUGGGACCUGCACCUGGACUGGAAUAGCAAGAGAUAUGGUAGACAAAACAAGAUAGA